RNAcentral lists this transfer RNA (61 nucleotides) under Urocitellus parryii (Arctic ground squirrel). RNAcentral describes it as "Spermophilus parryii (Arctic ground squirrel) tRNA". It matches the Rfam family "tRNA", at positions 6 to 65 of the family's 71-position model. From Rfam's summary of the family: Transfer RNA (tRNA) molecules are approximately 80 nucleotides in length. Their secondary structure includes four short double-helical elements and three loops (D, anti-codon, and T loops). Lineage: Eukaryota; Metazoa; Chordata; Mammalia; Rodentia; Sciuridae. RNAcentral also lists the same sequence under 2 other names. The record is from Rfam by way of RNAcentral.
UGUAGCUUAGUGGUAGAGUACUUGUCUAGCAUGCAUGAGGCUCUGGCUUCAAUCACCAGCA